This 385-nucleotide ribosomal RNA is filed under the name uncultured bacterium. Its description in RNAcentral is "bacterial SSU rRNA". It matches the Rfam family "Bacterial small subunit ribosomal RNA", at positions 370 to 772 of the family's 1533-position model. The record is from RNAcentral.
AAUGGAGGAAACUCUGAUGCAGCGACGCCGCGUGAGUGAAGAAGUAUUUCGGUAUGUAAAGCUCUAUCAGCAGGGAAGAAAAUGACGGUACCUGACUAAGAAGCACCGGCUAAAUACGUGCCAGCAGCCGCGGUAAUACGUAUGGUGCAAGCGUUAUCCGGAUUUACUGGGUGUAAAGGGAGCGUAGGUGGCAAGGCAAGCCAGAAGUGAAAACCCGGGGCUCAACCGCGGGAUUGCUUUUGGAACUGUCAUGCUAGAGUGCAGGAGGGGUGAGCGGAAUUCCUAGUGUAGCGGUGAAAUGCGUAGAUAUUAGGAGGAACACCGGAGGCGAAGGCGGCUCACUGGACUGUAACUGACACUGAGGCUCGAAAGCGUGGGGAGCAAA